RNAcentral lists this ribosomal RNA (450 nucleotides) under uncultured bacterium. RNAcentral's name for it is "bacterial SSU rRNA". It matches the Rfam family "Bacterial small subunit ribosomal RNA", at positions 354 to 796 of the family's 1533-position model. The record is from RNAcentral.
GUGGGGAAUUUUGGACAAUGGGCGCAAGCCUGAUCCAGCCAUGCCGCGUGUGUGAAGAAGGCCUUCGGGUUGUAAAGCACUUUCGGACGGAACGAAAUCGCGCGGACGAACAUUCCGCGUGGAUGACGGUACCGUAAGAAGAAGCACCGGCUAACUACGUGCCAGCAGCCGCGGUAAUACGUAGGGUGCGAGCGUUAAUCGGAAUUACUGGGCGUAAAGGGUGCGCAGGCGGCCCCGCCAGUCAGACGUGAAAUCCCCGAGCUCAACUUGGGAAUGGCGUUUGAAACUACGGGGCUGGAGUGUGGCAGAGGGAGGUGGAAUUCCACGUGUAGCGGUGAAAUGCGUAGAGAUGUGGAGGAACACCAAUGGCGAAGGCAGCCUCCUGGGCCAACACUGACGCUCAUGCACGAAAGCGUGGGGAGCAAACAGGAUUAGAAACCCGUGUAGUCC